CACGUAGGGCGCAAGCGUUGUCCGGAAUUAUUGGGCGUAAAGAGCUCGUAGGCGGUCUGUUGCGUCCGCUGUGAAAACUCGGGGCUUAACCCCGAGCCUGCAGUGGAUACGGGCAGACUAGAGGUAGGUAGGGGAGAAUGGAAUUCCCGGUGUAGCGGUGAAGUGCGCAGAUAUCGGGAGGAACGCCGGUGGCGAAGGCGGUUCUCUGGGCCUUACCUGACGCUGAGGAGCGAAAGCGUGGGGAGCGAACAGG
This 253-nucleotide ribosomal RNA is filed under the name uncultured bacterium. Its description in RNAcentral is "partial 16S ribosomal RNA". It matches the Rfam family "Bacterial small subunit ribosomal RNA", at positions 524 to 776 of the family's 1533-position model. The record is from RNAcentral.